RNAcentral lists this ribosomal RNA (252 nucleotides) under uncultured archaeon. Its description in RNAcentral is "partial 16S ribosomal RNA". It matches the Rfam family "Archaeal small subunit ribosomal RNA", at positions 474 to 726 of the family's 1478-position model. The record is from RNAcentral.
AACCAGCACCUCAAGUGGUCAGGAGGAUUAUUGGGCCUAAAGCAUCCGCAGCCUGUUCUAUAAGUUCGCGGUUAAAUCUAUACGCUCAACGUAUAGGCUGCCGUAAAUACUGUAGAACUAGGGAGUGGGAGAGGUAGACGGUACUCGAUAGGAAGGGGUAAAAUCCUUUGAUCUAUUGAUGACCACCUGUGGCGAAGGCGGUCUACCAGAACACGUUCGACGGUGAGGGAUGAAAGCUGGGGGAGCAACCGG